AGGAACUCUGGAGAAUCCCGCUCAGGGCGGGUGCCGAAGGUGCAAGGCGUUUUGAGGCAGGUCAAGGAGGCCGACAGGCGCUGAAUCUCUCAGGCAAAAGGACAGAAGU
Molecule: non-coding RNA, 109 nt
Filed under: pig gut metagenome
Description: Glycine riboswitch
Rfam family: Glycine riboswitch aptamer
About the family: This family represents the bacterial glycine riboswitch. Glycine riboswitches usually consist of two metabolite-binding aptamers domains with similar structures in tandem.
Source: RNAcentral